This 254-nucleotide ribosomal RNA is filed under the name uncultured bacterium. Its description in RNAcentral is "partial 16S ribosomal RNA". It matches the Rfam family "Bacterial small subunit ribosomal RNA", at positions 524 to 776 of the family's 1533-position model. The record is from RNAcentral.
CACGUAGGGUGCGAGCGUUGUCCGGAAUUAUUGGGCGUAAAGAGCUCGUAGGCGGUGUGUCGCGUCGGCCGUGAAAACCUGCAGCUUAACUGUGGGCUUGCGGUCGAUACGGGCAUCACUGGAGUUCGGCAGGGGAGACUGGAAUUCCUGGUGUAGCGGUGAAAUGCGCAGAUAUCAGGAGGAACACCGGUGGCGAAGGCGGGUCUCUGGGCCGAUACUGACGCUGAGGCACGAAAGCCAGGGGAGCAAACGGG